RNAcentral lists this ribosomal RNA (1431 nucleotides) under uncultured bacterium. RNAcentral describes it as "bacterial SSU rRNA". It matches the Rfam family "Bacterial small subunit ribosomal RNA". The record is from RNAcentral.
GCUUAACACAUGCAAGUCGAGGGGCAGCAUGAACUUAGCUUGCUAAGUUUGAUGGCGACCGGCGCACGGGUGAGUAACACGUAUCCAACCCGCCGAUGACUCGGGGAUAGCCUUUCGAAAGAAAGAUUAAUACCCGAUGGCAUAGUUCUUCCGCAUGGUAGAACUAUUAAAGAAUUUCGGUCAUCGAUGGGGAUGCGUUCCAUUAGGUUGUUGGCGGGGUAACGGCCCACCAAGCCUUCGAUGGAUAGGGGUUCUGAGAGGAAGGUCCCCCACAUUGGAACUGAGACACGGUCCAAACUCCUACGGGAGGCAGCAGUGAGGAAUAUUGGUCAAUGGACGAGAGUCUGAACCAGCCAAGUAGCGUGAAGGAUGACUGCCCUAUGGGUUGUAAACUUCUUUUAUACGGGAAUAAAGUGAGGCACGUGUGCCUUUUUGUAUGUACCGUAUGAAUAAGGAUCGGCUAACUCCGUGCCAGCAGCCGCGGUAAUACGGAGGAUCCGAGCGUUAUCCGGAUUUAUUGGGUUUAAAGGGAGCGUAGGUGGACAGUUAAGUCAGUUGUGAAAGUUUGCGGCUCAACCGUAAAAUUGCAGUUGAUACUGGCUGUCUUGAGUACAGUAGAGGUGGGCGGAAUUCGUGGUGUAGCGGUGAAAUGCUUAGAUAUCACGAAGAACUCCGAUUGCGAAGGCAGCUCACUGGACUGCAACUGACACUGAGGCUCGAAAGUGUGGGUAUCAAACAGGAUUAGAUACCCUGGUAGUCCACACGGUAAACGAUGAAUACUCGCUGUUUGCGAUAUACUGCAAGCGGCCAAGCGAAAGCGUUAAGUAUUCCACCUGGGGAGUACGCCGGCAACGGUGAAACUCAAAGGAAUUGACGGGGGCCCGCACAAGCGGAGGAACAUGUGGUUUAAUUCGAUGAUACGCGAGGAACCUUACCCGGGCUUAAAUUGCAGAUGAAUUACGGUGAAAGCCGUAAGCCGCAAGGCAUCUGUGAAGGUGCUGCAUGGUUGUCGUCAGCUCGUGCCGUGAGGUGUCGGCUUAAGUGCCAUAACGAGCGCAACCCUUGUUGUCAGUUACUAACAGGUUCCGCUGAGGACUCUGACAAGACUGCCAUCGUAAGAUGUGAGGAAGGUGGGGAUGACGUCAAAUCAGCACGGCCCUUACGUCCGGGGCUACACACGUGUUACAAUGGGGGGUACAGAGGGCCGCUACCACGCGAGUGGAUGCCAAUCCCCAAAACCUCUCUCAGUUCGGACUGGAGUCUGCAACCCGACUCCACGAAGCUGGAUUCGCUAGUAAUCGCGCAUCAGCCACGGCGCGGUGAAUACGUUCCCGGGCCUUGUACACACCGCCCGUCAAGCCAUGGGAGCCGGGGGUACCUGAAGUGCGUAACCGCGAGGAGCGCCCUAGGGUAAAACUGGUGACUGGGGCU